Molecule: non-coding RNA, 993 nt
Organism: Meleagris gallopavo (turkey)
Lineage: Eukaryota; Metazoa; Chordata; Aves; Galliformes; Phasianidae
Source: RefSeq, a predicted model, not a curated record
GCACAAGGGAUGGGCAAGGGGCACAGCAUGUUAGCAGGGAUGGCAGCCCAAAUGUGCCAGUCACACAAGCUAUCUGAUCUCAUCUGAAAGAAGGGAGACAGAUGGCUGACAACAGGCUUUAUCUGAAGAGGGCUGUGCUAUGAUCACAGAGGAUGGUGUAUGUGCUUCAGCACCCUAGCUCAUCUUCUCUUGUGGAGUACCCGUGUUUUUGCUGCAGUGUAAUUCUAUACCUAUCUGUGUGGACGCAUUCUGUAAAGAUCCGAAGGAAGUAGUAAAAGUUGAAAUACAGCAAGGGAGGUAAGAGGUCAGAAUGCUGUCCAUGUUUGCCAACGUGGAGCCACCAGAAAUUAACCAAAUGUCUUCUUUGGGAAUGUGAAAUAACUUUAUAUAGAGGAAAAAAAAAAAGAAAGAAAGAAAAAAAAAGCUGUGUUGAAUCUCAUUUAUUUUGGACUACAAGAAGGUGAUAUCACAUGGGAAAUUACUACCGAAGGCUGGAGAAGACAGGGAUUAGGAAUAAAAUUACAGAGAAGGAGUGCACGGAUGAAAUUAGCUGAUGAAACAAAACUGAGGCGCUUUCAAGACAAAACAGAUAUCAUGAAGGAAACAUUGGGUGACCUCGAGAAUAAUAGAAGCAGCAGGAAAUUAGACAGAGCAAAGUAAAAGGUUCCAUUCUUGGGAUUAACAUGAGAAUUUCUGCUAUGUGCCGGAAUAAAUAAAUUCAUAAAUUGGAAAUGACGGAAGGGAAAAAGAACUAAGGUAUUAGUCAUCCUGUGAUCAGCUAGUACAACUGUGAGCCACCUCUGGGAUGCAGGUGAGAAACAAGCAAAUGCAUUUUUAGGAUGAGCAGGAUUUCUGAGCCAGACAGGGAAUUUUUAAUGACUUUGUAUGAAGCUUUUCUAAGGCCUUAUCUGGAACAUCGUCUUUGGUGCCAGGGCACUCUCUGGCUACAUGAGCUCCAGCAGGAAUGUAUGCUGAAGAAGGCUAUAGGGAUGU